GGAUAACCUACCCUUAGGACUGGGAUAACCUUGGGAAACUGAGGAUAAUACCGGAUAGGCAAUUUUUCCUGUAAUGGUUCUUUGUUUAAAUGUUUUUUCGCCUAAGGAUGGGUCUGCGGCCGAUUAGGUAGUUGGUUAGGUAAUGGCUUACCAAGCCGUUGAUCGGUACGGGUUGUGAGAGCAAGAGCCCGGAGAUGGAACCUGAGACAAGGUUCCAGGCCCUACGGGGCGCAGCAGGCGCGAAACCUCCACAAUGUGAGAAAUCGCGAUGGGGGGAUCCCAAGUGCCAUUCUUAACGGGAUGGCUUUUCAUUAGUGUAAAAAGCUUUUGGAAUAAGAGCUGGGCAAGACCGGUGCCAGCCGCCGCGGUAACACCGGCAGCUCUAGUGGUAGCAACUUUUAUUGGGCCUAAAGCGUCCGUAGCCGGUUUAAUAAGUCUCUGGUGAAAUCCUGUAGCUUAACUGUGGGAAUUGCUGGAGAUACUAUUAGACUUGAGACCGGGAGAGGUUGGAGGUACUCCCAGGGUAGAGGUGAAAUUCUGUAAUCCUGGGAGGACCGCCUGUUGCGAAGGCGUCUAACUGGAACGGUUCUGACGGUGAGGGACGAAAGUUAGGGGCGCGAACCGGAUUAGAUACCCGGGUAGUCCUAACUGUAAACGAUGCGGACUUGGUGUUGGGGUGGCUUUGAGCUGUCCCAGUGCCGAAAGGGAAGCUGUUAAGUCCGCCGCCUGGG
This 731-nucleotide ribosomal RNA is filed under the name uncultured archaeon. RNAcentral's name for it is "bacterial SSU rRNA". It matches the Rfam family "Archaeal small subunit ribosomal RNA", at positions 102 to 832 of the family's 1478-position model. The record is from RNAcentral.